CCGCCGGCCCGUCGGCCCUGCAAAGUUUAACGCCAAUUCCCCUUGCGUCCUGGGAGCCGAGCGUUUUCUCUCCCUGCUGACGCUCCCAGCAGCUCUGCCUGGCCAGGCCAGGCUGGAGAGCACCCGGACCAUUUUCCAGACGGUGAGAUGGAGCCCUGGAAACCGAGCUUAUGAGCAGCCCGGAGCUUUCCAUUGCCUGCCCAGCCUUCCAGAUACAUCCCAGUUCCAGUUCUUUCCAGAGCCCUCUGGGAUCCAGCCAGCCUGCUUCCCCGCCAGGGCCUCACUGCUUCCAAACCUACUUCCCAGAAAUUUGGUGGCUGCCUCUGUGCUAUGAUUUGGUUGCUACCUGCUGAAGCUUCAACCUCUCAUCACUACCAGAAGGACCACAUCACUAAAAGUCCAUCAAUGGGGUUACUCACUUUGAUGGGCCUGUGCAGCGUCAUUCAGGAAGCCCGUGGUACUCACAUCACUCUGGCCAGACGCUAACAAGAAAAUGAUCCACUGUGACGCAGCCGACCCCAUCCAGUGCAUCCACAUUACCUGGAAAGAAGCAAUUAUGCCCCUUUGGUUUCCUUGGAAAUGCUUGGUCUGUCUCUACCAUCCGCCCUGGCUCUUGAGAAAUACUCAUGCACGGUAGAGCUUUGACAGGGAGACAGUGUGUUUAUUUUCCAACUGAAAGUUUACAGAAUACAAAGUGAGCCUGUAAGAUGGUGGCCACUCUCCAGAGGCUUGUUGGUCAGACAGGAAAGAAAACCAGUGCACCAUCGGGAACGUGGAGGAGGCUGAAAGAGAGGGACAAACAUAUUGGAUUGGAUUGGGCCCCCACAGUCAAGUUCCUGCAAACCAAGCUGGGAGAUUUUCCUGACUAAGGGUUAUGUUCUUGGGCCUCAAAGCUCCCCAGCCAACGCCCAGCUUCUGUGCCGAGGAGGAUACAGGAGGACAGACACAGCCUCUGUGUCAGGAGGAGGGAAGAAGGACUAAUGUCUGUGGACACUCUGAGGCUCACAGGGAGAAGCCACACACUCGCAGCACCAGAUGAGUAAACAGAGGCUUGGAGGGGUGAUGAAAUUUGCCAACAGUCAUCAAUCGUUCCAGGAACAGGUGAUGCUUCCCGGCAGUGAGACUCGAAACCAGCGGGAGUUCCCAGCCAGAGACAUGAUCUAAGUGCCAAUGGCUGAAUGUCUGUGAGCAUUUCAAGUCAUUUUAAGAAUAGGCAACAUUAGCGGCACCAUUAAAGCCUGCUGUUCCUCCAGCCCAUCACUGCCAUCCCCACCUAUUAAAAUAAUGGCAUGAAAAAUAAACAGCCUUUAUGUACAAUUUUA
This 1322-nucleotide long non-coding RNA is filed under the name Homo sapiens (human). RNAcentral describes it as "HSALNT0405277". The record is from RNAcentral. Lineage: Eukaryota; Metazoa; Chordata; Mammalia; Primates; Hominidae.